Molecule: ribosomal RNA, 252 nt
Filed under: uncultured bacterium
Lineage: Bacteria
Description: partial 16S ribosomal RNA
Rfam family: Bacterial small subunit ribosomal RNA
Source: RNAcentral
UACGUAUGGUGCAAGCGUUAUCCGGAUUUACUGGGUGUAAAGGGAGCGCAGGUGGUUUAUUAAGUCUGGUGUAAAAGGCAGUGGCUCAACCAUUGUAUGCAUUGGAAACUGGUAGACUUGAGUGCAGGAGAGGAGAGUGGAAUUCCAUGUGUAGCGGUGAAAUGCGUAGAUAUAUGGAGGAACACCGGUGGCGAAAGCGGCUCUCUGGCCUGUAACUGACACUGAGGCUCGAAAGCGUGGGGAGCAAACAGG